RNAcentral lists this ribosomal RNA (245 nucleotides) under uncultured Belnapia sp. Its description in RNAcentral is "partial 16S ribosomal RNA". It matches the Rfam family "Bacterial small subunit ribosomal RNA", at positions 524 to 768 of the family's 1533-position model. Lineage: Bacteria; Pseudomonadati; Pseudomonadota; Alphaproteobacteria; Acetobacterales; Roseomonadaceae. The record is from RNAcentral.
UACGAAGGGGGCUAGCGUUGCUCGGAAUUACUGGGCGUAAAGGGCGCGUAGGCGGUUCUGUUAGUCAGGCGUGAAAUUCCUGGGCUCAACCUGGGGACUGCGCUUGAUACGGCGGAACUUGAGGGCAGGAGAGGCUCGCGGAAUUCCCAGUGUAGAGGUGAAAUUCGUAGAUAUUGGGAAGAACACCGGUGGCGAAGGCGGCGAGCUGGCCUGUUACUGACGCUGAGGCGCGACAGCGUGGGGAG